Molecule: long non-coding RNA, 979 nt
Filed under: Homo sapiens (human)
Lineage: Eukaryota; Metazoa; Chordata; Mammalia; Primates; Hominidae
Description: HSALNT0020378
Source: RNAcentral
CUUGGAAGGACCUGUGGGUGUAGGGCAGAUUAAAGGAGUGACAAUCAUGGACCUACUAAUAAGUCUAUGCCCACAGUGUGGGUGGCCAGCAUGUGUUCAAAGGUGAUGGUCAGCAAGGCUCUGAAGGCCUUCUAAGGGCUCAUCCUUGCCCACUGCUUUGCCUGGCUAACUCCUUUUAUUCAUCUUUUAGGUCUCAGCCUAGACAUCAACUUUCCCUGAAGCCUUUCUUGAUGGCCAUAUCUGGGCCAGGUGCCCCAUCUGUGGGCUCUGGAAAAACCCCAUUUGUAAAUAAUAUGGUAACCAUUCAUUUGUCUGUCUCCGCCCUGGACUGUAAGCUCCACAAGGGCAGGGAUGUAUCUCUCCAGUGUGCCUAGCCAGAGAUUGGGAAAGAGCAGGCCCUUCAUAAAUACUUAUUGAUCAAUACUUGUUGAUGGAAGGAAAUGGGGAGCCACUGAAGGAUUCUAAGCAAGGUCUCAGAUGGCAUCAAUCUAGCUGGAGGUAGGAAGGAGGCCAGUGACCAGACAAUGGCAGUGGCCAGGGUAAAAAUGAUGCAGGCCUGAGCUAAGCUGGGAGUAGGGGGAAUGGAAAGGAGAAAACAGGUGGGUGUAAGAGAGUGGGAGAAGCCAACAUUAAAGGCUUGAUGUUUGGAUAACUAUGGAUGAAGCCAUCCUAGAAAUCAUGAAAGGGUUACCCAACGUGCCUGGCCUCUUGUAUUUUUCCUGCUUCCCUUUAGACUAUAGGCUCUGUGAGGGGAGACCUUGUCUGCUCUAGUCUCCAUUUAAUUUCCAGAAUACCUGCUGAAGGAAGGACUCUGCUUGGCUUCAGGGAGUGGGGGCUCCGAGGGCUCCUAUCUGAUUUGUGUGUGGCCAUAGCCUGAAACACAGGUGGGGGUUGCGGUGCCCAGGUGUGCUAGGUUUCUGAUUUUCCCUUUAACCUACGAGGUUAGAGACAAGGUGUAAAAUGCAAAUGCCCUUGGGAG